This 3439-nucleotide unclassified non-coding RNA is filed under the name Owenia fusiformis. RNAcentral describes it as "misc RNA OFUS_LOCUS3199". Lineage: Eukaryota; Metazoa; Annelida; Polychaeta; Sabellida; Oweniidae. The record is from RNAcentral.
CAGAAGUGGUAUUGACCGGCUAGCCAGAACCAAGUAAGCAAGAUUCUCAAGUGUUUCCGUGAGGAACUGGCCACUGCCUUUGGGAAAUAUACGAUCAAAAUAGAACACAAGAAUAACCUCAAUCUGUGAGUUAUACUGCUAGAGUACACGUAAACUAACACAUCGAGGAGUGUUUGGCUUCAAAUGAUCAGGUUUGGUACUGCAACGUACCAUUGAAGCCAAAAAAUGAAACCGAAUUUAUAGUGAACGAUUGUAAUAUAUAUGGGAGUGGAUACUCAGUCAGUGAUACUAAUAAGAUAAUGACUGAAAUGAAGAAUUAUGUCGUAUCUAAGUGUAGGGACGAAUUUCGAAAGUAACAAAAACGGAAAAGACGUUAUCUAGAAAGGAAAAUACAUCAAAUUGGACUUUCUACAUCUUUACCAGCAACUGCAAUAUAGGGACCAAAGAUAGGUGUCGCUGAAAGGCUGGAAUUCAAGGAUGAAGUUUAAAGAAUUUUGGACGAAUUCUUUCACUCGUCCGAAGAAAUCUAAGAAGAAGCAAAAAGGACAACCAGUUUUUGAUUACGUAACUAAGCCACAAGAGACAACCAAUUCAAGCACAGCAACCUCUAGUCCAACAAGCCCGUCUGAUUCAGCAAACGGAAACUGCAGACCAAACAAUCGAGGCAAGAAUGAAGUGAAAGCCAACAAGUUUUUAGUGACUGAUGAUUUCACAUAUUUCGAUGAUAAGCGCUAUCAAAACAGUGUAAACAACGCCAAUAACAAUUGCCAAGUGGAUCAUUUUAAUAUCUUCAGUGCUGAUACUAAGACAAACUGCGCUUGCUACAAGCACAUCGACUCCUAUUGUACAAUAAGCCAGAGAGCAGGAUCACAGAGACCACGUAUCAUCCCAGACAAUGAGACCAAGCUCACGUUGGAGCAUUUCGGUGAUACACUAUACGCAACUGUUCCAAAAAAUCGAUCGAGAAUUCGGACCAACCCAUGGCUGGCCUCGCCCGACAGCAUGAGCCCUGCUAGUAGUAUUACAUCUGGUUCACCAGCUUAUUCCCCAACAAACCAGAAACCUUUCAAGGAAAACGGAGAACGCAAAGCAUCCAUUAAUUCCGAUAGCUCUGGUAAGAGUUUCGACACAGAUAGAAAGAAAAGAAAGUGUGAUUUCGAAAUGACUUCGCCUAUAGUAGACGACAAUGAUAGAACAUUAACAAGGUCAUCCGGCGUUCAUGACUAUGUGAAUAUCAUGGAAAGUUCCAUGACAUCAACUGGAAGCACUGUUCCAUCAGAAACAAGCUUUACAACGAUGGAAUCAUACGAGUCUCCAAUGGCGACAAGCACGGAUAGUUUCACUUCUGGACAUUACUACGAACAACUUCGAAACGGACAUGGGAAUACAAGCCCUACAACCCAUAAUGUAACUGUCCCGAUUGUAAUCCCGGCAAAAGGACGACCUCAAAGUUUGAACAUCAACAACAGGACAACUAAGACUAGGGUAAUGAGAGAGCUAACCCCGUCAUUCGAGGACAGUUUUGAAUAUGAAGAGUCUCUGGAGACAGCACUCGACGAUUCUCAUCUGGACGAUGUCACCCCUUGUAACAGUGACGAUGAGACAUUGAAUGAUCUGGACAAAUCAUGUGAUAAUAGAAGAAUCAAUGAGUUAAAUGUGAGACAAAAUAUCACACAGGAUAGAGUUAUAUUGCGCCAGCUUGACAAUAACGUGGCACAGGAGGUCACUACUACUGGCAGUCGCAAGCCUGAUAGAGCAUACCAUACAUUGGAUAUAGCCAUGAUUAAAUCAAGAAAAGACGAUAGGGCCGGCAAAGCGUCGGGAAGAUCAAUUGAGCAGAUCCGUGAAAGCCUUGAGGAGAAAGUUACGAGACUAAGGAAGGAAAAAUGGGUCGUAUCUGAAAAGAUCCGCCAAGCGAAGGAAGAAGAAAGGGUGAGAAUACAAGAAAAGUUGAGAUUUCAAAGACAAGUGACAUUACAAAGGAAGGAGAUGCUACUGAAGACCCUACAGGAGUUGAGGGAAAAACUGGACAGUCAGAGUUACAGGCUACAAGCUAGCUACAAUCACAUGUUGUUCAUGCAUAGGAAUGAAUCCCGGCAACGUAUCUUACAAAGCAAUGAAGGUGACCAUGCACUAAGAGCUUUACCAGUGCAUCACCCUCUUGUGAAAGAAUCUCCAUUUUGAAUGUAUUGUAAACAAUUGAUCUCUUGAAGAUGAGAAAAUAAGAUCAUAUCCACAAAGGUUCUGUAGUAAUAUUUAGCCAGGGUGUAUUUGGUACAAGAACCUGGUAUUUAUGGUAUUGUUUAUCUCAUAUUUCUUACAUAUGUGUAAAGUAGUGAAGUGAUGGUUACAAAUCAGUCGUAUUGUUUAGUAUUGAUGUAAACAUAUACCCAAGGUUAUUUGGAUGAAGCAGCUUUUUCAGAGUAAGAAACAAAAUCAAUUGCAAAUUACAAAUAUGAACACUUGCUACAAAGGUAUUAGCUUCAAAAUGAAAUCUGACUUUCAAUUAGAAUCAUAAGCUGGUAUCAAGUUUACAAUUUUAUCUUUUGGCCAAGUUUUAUUAAUACAAAUACGCCAUUUUAGUGACGUUUAGGUAUAGUUCCAAUUGUUUCAUUAGAAUGAGCAUCUUCAUGACUUUUUCUGUAUUCUGUAUAUAUGGCAGACAGCAGGUUUUGAAGUACAGUUACUUUGUAUAUUUUGAAAUCAAAACCAUCUUUGUGAAUCGCUUUCUUCUUUAUCUUGAGACAGCGUUCUUGUUUUUAAAAUGAUGACACAAUGAUUUACUUCACUUGGUAUAAAUCUGUAAAUAUUUAUACUGCACACAUUUUGGACUUGAUGAUUUCGAGCGUGGACUUUGAAUAUUUAUGUGAGCUAUUUUCAUAUUUGAUUUAUUGGCUCAUAUCUCCGUGUUUCACUUGAUCCCCGAUUAGUUCACAUCAUCAAUGACACUACACAUGGUGUUUAUAAGAAUCAAUGAAUCAAUUUGAUUGGAAGAUAUCAAAUAAAUAUUAUAAGGUUUCAAUGUUAUUUUUCUCAUAUUUUACUUCUUUGCAUUACCAUUGUCCAUCGUGUAUAUUGUAUGUAUGAUGAAGUAUGUUCUGGAAAUAUACAAGUUUCACAUGGCCCAAAAUAAAUACAGCAGAAUAUAAUGGAGGCAGAUGUGACAAUGAAAUAUGAAAUAUUUUGAAAUAAUCCAUAUUCCAUUGUUAAUGUGUCAAUAUGGUAUUUAUCCAAGAAUGUUGCAUUUAUAUAGACGAUCUACAAAUUAUUGAUAAUGUUGAUAUAUAGUUAUAUAUUGUAUAGUUUUAGUAUUGUGGAAUAUUGGACAUUUAGAAACAGAUUAUUCAUUGGGCAUCAAGAUUAGCCCUUCCCCGAUAUACAGGGUGUCCAUAAAGUGUCCAUCCAUCCAAGAGACUUUAUCCACACCCUGUAUAUCUUC